UACGGGGGGGGCAAGCGUUGUUCGGAAUUACUGGGCGUAAAGGGCCAGUAGGCGGCCAACUAAGUCGGAUGUGAAAUCCCCAGGCUCAACUUGGGAACUGCAUCCGAUACUGGAUGGCUUGAAUUCGGGAGAGGGAUGCAGAAUUCCAGGUGUAGCGGUGAAAUGCGUAGAUAUCUGGAGGAAUACCGGUGGCGAAGGCGGCAUCCUGGACCGACAUUGACGCUGAACGGCGAAAGCUAGGGGAGCAAACGGG
This 253-nucleotide ribosomal RNA is filed under the name uncultured bacterium. Its description in RNAcentral is "partial 16S ribosomal RNA". It matches the Rfam family "Bacterial small subunit ribosomal RNA", at positions 524 to 776 of the family's 1533-position model. The record is from RNAcentral. RNAcentral also lists the same sequence under 2 other names.